UACAUGUGGGGCAAGCGUUGUUCGGAAUUACUGGGCAUAAAGGGCGCGUAGGCGGGCGACCAAGUCAGGGGUGAAAUCCUCCGGCUCAACCGGAGAACAGCCUUUGAUACUGGUCACCUCGAGGGAGGUAGGGGCAUGUGGAACUUCCGGUGGAGCGGUGAAAUGCGUAGAUAUCGGAAGGAACGCCGGUGGCGAAAGCGACGUGCUGGACCUCUUCUGACGCUGAGGCGCGAAAGCUAGGGGAGCAAACGGG
RNAcentral lists this ribosomal RNA (253 nucleotides) under uncultured bacterium. Its description in RNAcentral is "partial 16S ribosomal RNA". It matches the Rfam family "Bacterial small subunit ribosomal RNA", at positions 524 to 776 of the family's 1533-position model. The record is from RNAcentral.